GAGAUUACAACUUCCUCAUCCACUCCCUCCGCCGCCUCUCAAAACCCUAGAAUUGUCAAUCUCAAUGGCGAUUUCCACAGCUUCGGUACUCUCUCACUGCUAGGGUUCUGAUCAACCUCUCCCGAUCCCAGCUCCGCCGCUGCUAUGUCGACGGUUAACCCCUUCGAUCUCCUCGGAGAUGACGACAACGACGAUCCCACCCAGCUCAUAGCCAUCCAGCAGCAGAAGCUCGCUGCCAAGAAGCCCGCCGCCGCCGCACAGGCGGCGCCGACCGCCAAGCUCCCAUCCAAGCCGCUCCCUCCGACCCAGGCCGUGAGGGAGGCUAGGAAUAAUACUGGCCCGGUGCGAGGU
This 351-nucleotide unclassified non-coding RNA is filed under the name Hevea brasiliensis (rubber tree). The record is from RNAcentral. Lineage: Eukaryota; Viridiplantae; Streptophyta; Magnoliopsida; Malpighiales; Euphorbiaceae.